GACGAACGCUAGCGGCGUGCUUAACACAUGCAAGUCGAGCGGUAAGGCCCUUCGGGGUACACGAGCGGCGAACGGGUGAGUAACACGUGGGUGAUCUGCCUUGCACUUCGGGAUAAGCCUGGGAAACUGGGUCUAAUACCGGAUAUGACCUUCCAGUGCAUGCUGGUUGGUGGAAAGAUUUAUCGGUGCGAGAUGGGCCCGCGGCCUAUCAGCUUGUUGGUGAGGUAACGGCUCACCAAGGCGACGACGGGUAGCCGACCUGAGAGGGUGACCGGCCACACUGGGACUGAGACACGGCCCAGACUCCUACGGGAGGCAGCAGUGGGGAAUAUUGCACAAUGGGCGAAAGCCUGAUGCAGCGACGCCGCGUGCGGGAUGACGGCCUUCGGGUUGUAAACCGCUUUUGACAGGGACGAAGCGCGAGUGACUGUACCUGUAGAAUAAGGACCGGCCAACUACGUG
This 462-nucleotide ribosomal RNA is filed under the name Nocardia ignorata. Its description in RNAcentral is "bacterial SSU rRNA". It matches the Rfam family "Bacterial small subunit ribosomal RNA", at positions 28 to 507 of the family's 1533-position model. Lineage: Bacteria; Bacillati; Actinomycetota; Actinomycetes; Mycobacteriales; Nocardiaceae. The record is from RNAcentral.